GGUGAAUUCUUGUUGAAUCUGGUGUGGGUCAGUAAGCUUCAUUUGGUUCUCUGUGAGGAUACAGCUCACCUUAUUUCUGGCUUGUCUGGAUUUCAUGUAAGCAUGAAAAUAUUUUGUAUUGCUAUCCCCAAGUUGAAUCCAGUUUGCUCUUGAUUUCUGUCUCAUAACCUGUUCUUGAAUAGUUUCCCAUUGUUCAAUGUUCUGUAAGAGUUGUUUUUCUUUUUGAAUCUCCUACUUGUUGAAUUGGUCUUUAUUUAGUCUGUAUGUGUUUCAUUCAGUUCCUCUCUCAGGUGUUGCAGUUUUUUGUCAACAGAGGAAUGUUCCUUGUGGAUGUGUCUGGUAGCUUGUUCAAUCUUUUUCAGUUUGCUCCAAAUAGAGUACAUAGUACAUCCUUGAAUCUGCUGGCUCCAGAUUGUCUGAACUGCUGCCCUGUAGUCUUGAUGUUUCAUCACUGUGGUGAGUAAUCUGUAUGGCCUGUUCACUAUAGGUUUUGCAUGCGAUUAAUGCUAUUAAUGCUAUAAAAGAUCUAUUCAAGCAAGUCCAAUUCAAAAUUCACCUUUCGGUUUCAAAAUACAAAAAAAGGUUUUGAGUCUUUUGACAUUGAUUCAGCUUUCUGCGACAUACUGUUUUUGAGAGGCACAAAAACAAUUAACGAG
This 656-nucleotide long non-coding RNA is filed under the name Nicotiana benthamiana. RNAcentral's name for it is "long non-coding RNA (NBEN_LNC035103)". The record is from RNAcentral. Lineage: Eukaryota; Viridiplantae; Streptophyta; Magnoliopsida; Solanales; Solanaceae.